This is an RNA transcript of Saccostrea cuccullata (small rock oyster), 932 nucleotides long. RefSeq lists it as uncharacterized. NCBI's taxonomy places the organism in Eukaryota, Metazoa, Mollusca, Bivalvia, Ostreida, Ostreidae. The record is from RefSeq and is a predicted model, not a curated record. The transcript is spliced from 5 exons.
AGAACCAUUUGAGCGUGGUGUAUUUACUGUCUGUACAUCGCGAUACAGCACUGAAAUGGCAACAAUGAAAUAAAGAUAAAAAUCAAAGACAUCUCUUCCGAAUAUUGCCAUGAUCAAAAGCAGCCAUAACUACCGCACAAUCGAAGUGUACAGGAAAAGAUGGUUUUCUGGUGUGCUGCGCGGGCUUCGAAUUGGAUAAAAAGACAGGAAUCUGCAGAGAAUGUGGUGACGGUUAUUUUGGCGAAAACUGCUCUGAAGUGUGUCGGUUUCCAACAUUUGGCCGACGGUGUCAGGGGUUAUGUGACUGUCCUCUAUCAAUGUGUGACUUUGUCAAAGGAUGUACUUACACAUCAGGUAACUCCCAUAAUCAAAAACGGACAAAAGGGCCAACAGAAAAAAUGAUACUCUCAACUAAAUGGAAUUCUGCACCAGAGGUGAACCGAAAUUCUAAUAAUAAUUUCAGAGAUCCAAUGCACUUGCUACUAUUGAUCAUUGCCUGCAUUAACAUUAUUUACGUACUAAUAAAAUCUGCGAAAUAUUUUCGAGGAAAAUUCAAGAGACUGAUCUGUCUAUAUACACAUCAGAGCAAAAAAGAAUAUGGCAAAGAACUUUAUGUGGGUGUUUUAGAGACGCCCCUCCAAAAUGACAAUUAUGAUGUUAUACAAAACGAGCUGGUAUUCGAAGGCACGACUCACACUAAGUUAAAGUUUCAGCAGGCGACUCAAAACGUUGUCAUAGAAACGCAUUCUGAAGCCAAAGGACCACCUAAUAUUCCGAAAAAAGGUACCAAUAUUAAGAAGAAAAAAAUAAUGACGUGAAUAAACAUAAAAUUUGGAGUGAUAACAAUUAACUUAAAGAGCGACAUUUUGCAGAAACUUUGCAUGUUGAAUGAGUUUUGUUUAUUACACUACAAUACUUUUUAUGCUCGAAAG